Chelonus insularis is the source of this 3873-nucleotide long non-coding RNA. RefSeq lists it as uncharacterized. The transcript is spliced from 9 exons. NCBI's taxonomy places the organism in Eukaryota, Metazoa, Arthropoda, Insecta, Hymenoptera, Braconidae. The record is from RefSeq and is a predicted model, not a curated record.
UCUAAAUUGGUUUUAAAUCAAAUCAACCUUGAAAAAUCGAGGUAAUUGACAAAAAGCAGCGAGUCUAAAGUAUUGUACAAACAGAAAGUACAGGUGACUCUCUUGUGGACAAAGAGGGAGGAAGAAUGAAGCUGUCGUGAGAUGCAGAAAAGAAGGCGAGACCGAGAAGGAUUGUAAGAAUGAGAGGUCGAGAGAAGGGUUACCUUUAGACAAAGAGGUGUCGCGUACAAAACAGUUAAUGAGUCUACGGCUGGGUGGUCCGGCCCGGGGCUUCGUCUUAAUAACGUCGAGGCGAGAGUGAACAUGGAGGUUGUGCAGAGGAUGUUAAGAGUUUUGAGGUUAUAUCGUGAUCACUUAUUGGCAUUGGAUUAUGAGAACUUUUUAUCGAUGAAGACGUCCAGCUUGAUUGUUGUGCAAAUUAACGGUCGACUGAAUAUCACCAGCCUUUUCUCUUGAAUCUAGAAAUUGCCUCGAGAAUUCCAUCCCGUAUUCUAGAUUAUGAGAACAACCUCCCCAUUUCCAGUGUGCUCCGCGUGCUUUUGCUGGUGGUUUACCCUUGUAACUAGACGGAUCGCAACCGCAGGAAAUCAAACGACCCAUGCUGCAGGAUUUUGCAAUACUGUGUGCUACACCAGCAGCUGAUAUCGCAUAGGCAAAAGCCGUUUCUCUGUAACCUGGAACAAAGAAGACGCAAUUUCAUUACACAAAUUUUACACUUGGGUGAUUGACGAUGUUGCACAUGAUAACACUAGAGUCUCCUGGAAUCUUUCAUUUUUCAACUGGAAAAAAUAUCUCUUUCUUUCAACUCUGUCUGCUUAUUUUUUUUUUUCAUAACGAAGUUAUUGUAAUGGAAUCGAUUUUUAAAAUUCGAAUCAGGGACAAUUUUUACUGAUUUUCAGUGUUAGUUCAACUGCUGAUUCAUUCAGUAAUUAGACAGGCACCGAUAAUCAGUGAUUAUUUAGUGCUAAUCUAAUUAUUGAUUCAAUCAAUGGUUGGAUUAGCACUGAAAAUCAGUAAAAAUUGUCUGUGAUUCGCAAUUAUUUUCACUGAUUCAAAAUAUUGUUAAUAAAUGAGACCAAUAUCAACAAAAUACUGUUGUAAAUGACUAUACAUUAAUUUUAACAAUGGGAUAUUGUUUAUAACAAUUGCAAUUUGUUAUAUGGAGAACUGUUUAAUGGAAAGUUUGUCAUAGUACAUCCCUUUUGGCUUUUAACAACAUGAAUUUCGAGACAAUAAUAUUAUGUAUUAAUGUACGUGAAGCUCAUGUGUUUUUAUCAUCUCUGAGAAAGCGAAAAAAAAAGUAAAUACGGUUCAUGCGUUUCUCGAGAGCCUAUACUGGGUUCCUUCAACUCCGUCUCCUCCACGUCGUCGGCGUACUUGUUGUCGUCCGAGGAGAGAAGUAGAGAGCGGAUUCAAGAUCUACUGAGAGACGUAUAGCUCCCACUGGAGGAUUUAUUACGACUUCUCUAACAUCCUGCUCACCCAUCCAGCGGUUGCAUACCACCCGUCCUACCACUUGGAGUAGUCAACACUGAUGAUGCAAAACUUGAUGCUUUUGGGAGUCAAUCAGGCAUUUUAAUUGGCCAAGUGUCAUCAUGAAGCAUGAUCAAUAGGACUGCUUCAGUUUAAUCCUAUUUGAAGUAUUACUAAGUGUUCCAGGGAAUCAGAGAUCAGGAUAUUGAUUAAAGACUAUGAGAUGGUGUUGAUUCAGAGAAGAAUUUAGUUUGAAAAGAGAAUCAUUUUCUAGCUUUAUUCGAUCAAGCUAAUUAUUGAAUUAAUUUUCUAGGAAAACAUAAAGGGUAAGUGAUUUUAAAUUAAGGUUUUGGAGUAAAAGAAUGCAAUGUUGAUAACCUGGUCUUAGUUACCAGUGAUGGCAGUCUCAAAAUUAAUUAACCCUAACAGUAAGUUGAUGAAACAUUUUUCUGUGUUUUGAAAAGACUAGAAUAAUUUGUUAAAAAAAUGAUGAUAAUAAAAAUAUAUAUUUAUAUAUAUAUUACUGCAGAAAACAGAUGAUUGAUUUACGUAUUUUCUAGAUGUCAUUAUCUUGGCAAAGCGUAAAAAAUCGUGGUGGAAACUUCUGAGAAUCCCUAGUACUGUGAGGCGUCGAAAAUCUUUAGAAUAGUGACUAAAUCUAGCGUAUCAAAUCCUCACGGUUCUCUCGCACCAAAGUGUGUUUCUGUAGGCAUGCCAUGGAAGAAGCCAGCCAAUGGUUAAAUUGACUGUACCUACAUCUAAUGAAAGCCUAAGGUAAAGGUUGACCGCACACGUCGUGAUGCGCUUGAUCCAACUCAACGUUUGCCUGACUCUUUAUCCCACUGGAUAAGGAAUAACAUUUUAUCUAUUAGAAGAUACAUGUUACCCAAAACUUCUUCAGAUCCAUGAUAUUGAGUAACCAAUCAUCCUAAUAGAAAGUUAACUACUGAUCAUAGAAUACCUGCACCCAAUAGUCUUGGGACAUUUUAGGAAUUUAAAAUAUGCUCGAGGAAAUUAUUUAAAUGGGCUAAAUUACUACCGAAGAAUUAAUCUCGAGAGUUGAUUCAUUGGAAUCGUUUGACCAUUUUUCAGAAGAAAUUCGAUGAAUACUUGAUUAGCUUGGGGGACUUUUUUUUAAAUCCAGAGGAAAGUAAGGAAAUAAGACCAUAUCAGUACUUGUUGAUAGUGAUGAACAAUUCCACCUGUGCCAUGCAAAUUGAUGUUGACAUUCAGUUAUCGCCAUCUGGAGACCUUUGAUUGCCGCUGCUGUCACGUCUGGAUUUGCAUAGCAAAGAUCUCUUUGCUCCUUCGUCAACCCUGGGAUUCCAUUGCAGACAAUUAUAUUACCACUUGACCAGUCAUCCACUGAAUUACUCAUCAACCCCAUCGCUCUAAAAUGAAUGAAAAAAAUUCAACAUGUAAAUGAAGUUCAUUGAUCAAAUAGCAUCACCAGCACCAAUAAAUAUCACAUGGUAAUGAAGGAAGAUUGAUCACAGUGGAGAUUGUUGGAGAAAAUGCUAUUAAUAAACAUCACUAAUUAAAAGUAAUCUAAGCAACCUAUCGUCAUAAUUAAAUAACAACACACUCAGCAGUCUUGGAUAAUCUAUUCACAUCGAUCUAGACUCUACAUCAUUUUUCUCUUAUUUCUCGUGGCCAAAUAUUUAUGCACCAUACAAAUUGGCCAUAAAAACAAGACCCUAAAAGUAAGGAACGUGUUGCACCCGCGUGUGAAUGUGCAAAUUCUUCGGGGACCUGUGUGACUUUGGGAGAGAGAGAGGCUUUGGAAUCAGCUGAAAGACAGAAAGGUACCAGGAGGAAGAUAGAGGAUCCUAUUUGGUGGAUCCUGCAAGAAGGUUUCAAGUUAUUGAGCGUUCCCAUUACUUCUACAACACCGGUGCUGGUAUCUUAUGCACUAUUGAUGAUCUAAUGAAAGUGAAUUGAUGAUUCAAAGGCGAUAGACAAAUUGCUACAUAAAUGUGAAUACGCUCUAGAGUGUUUUGUGCUGCUAAAUUAUCAACAACUUGACCAGCAACGAAUCAGAUCAUUGAAGAUCUAUCAUCUCCAAAAAAAGAAACAAAAUGUUGAAUAUUAAUCAGAUACCAUGGGUCUUAAUAAAUAAUUAUUCACUUAAUUAAUUUUUCAACUCAAUCGAUCUACGUAUUUAAAGUGAAGUAAGAAAUGAUUAUUAAUAAAUGAAAGUAUAGAAAAAAUAAAUAUAGAAUAAGGAAAUAAGCAGACAAGUUUUCGUUUCCAUCAGCUACCAUAUGUUCAAUUUACACUUAGAGUCUGUUUUCCAAUCAAAAACAUCCAGAGAUAUUGGGUUCAAAAGGUGCCAACAUUUAACGAACUUGUUCAAAUAUAUCUUUAAUACUAUUUAACUUUAGUUUUACGAUCACUCAA